AUUUGCAUGUUAUAGUGUGGUCCAUUUCUUAUAACUAUUUAAUAUACACUCAAUAAAACAAUAUUCAUUGAUUUUCAAUUUUAGAAAACAAAAUGAAAGUUAUAAUUAGUAUAUUGGUUUAUGACUGAAAAAAAGAAAGUAUAUUGCCACAUCUUAAAUGAGCUCCCAUCGAACUUGUCGAACUUGUCGGGAAGGAGGCCUGCUGAAUUUGCCGCUGGAUGUUGAAAUUGCUCAAGGGCUUCAGUUUGCAUAGAUUCAUGUACAACUACUUUCACCGGAGGGAGCGUACCAAAUUGGAUUUCAGCUUCAGUUUCACCCCCAUUGUUGGUGACCUCGUCGACGUUCGAGAUGUUGACGUUCUCAGUUGACACAAAACCAGAUCAGUACCAAAGUUAUAAUAUGUGAGUUAAUCAAGAGAAAAUACGACAAGUUACAAUCUUUCUAUUUGAACACAAAUGAAAGCAAAACCAGUUGCAUGUUUCUAAUUAAGACGUCAUCCUAUAAACAAUUACACAUAUAUUUUCAGGUUUCACUCUACACAAUUGAUAAUAAAAAAAAAACA
RNAcentral lists this small RNA (562 nucleotides) under Arabidopsis thaliana (thale cress). Its description in RNAcentral is "ATSL097930". Lineage: Eukaryota; Viridiplantae; Streptophyta; Magnoliopsida; Brassicales; Brassicaceae. The record is from RNAcentral.